GACGAACGCUGGCGGCGUGCUUAACACAUGCAAGUCGAACGGAAAGGCCCUGUCGUUGUUGGACGCUCGAGUGGCGAAUGGGUGAGUAACACGUGAGUAACCUGCCCUUGACUUUGGGAUAUCUUCAGGAAACUGGGGCUAAUACCGGAUAGGAGCUCUUGCUGCAUGGUGGGGGUUGGAAAGUUUCGGCGGUUGGGGAUGGACUCGCGGCUUAUCAGCUUGUUGGUGGGGGAGUGGCUUACCAAGGCUUUGACGGGUAGCCGGCCUGAGAGGGUGACCGGCCACAUUGGGACUGAGAUACGGCCCGGACUCCAACGGGAGGCAGCAGUGGGGAAUAUUGCACAAGGGGCGGAAGCCUGAUGCAGCAACGCCGCGUGCGGGAUGACGGCCUUCGGGUUGUAACCCGCUUUCGCCUGUGACGAAGCGUUAGUGACGGUAAUGGGUAAAGAAGCACCGGCUAACUACGUG
Molecule: ribosomal RNA, 468 nt
Filed under: uncultured bacterium
Lineage: Bacteria
Description: partial 16S ribosomal RNA
Rfam family: Bacterial small subunit ribosomal RNA
Source: RNAcentral